Non-coding RNA from Stylonychia lemnae, 45 nucleotides. The record is from Rfam. Lineage: Eukaryota; Ciliophora; Spirotrichea; Sporadotrichida; Oxytrichidae.
GAACAGGCAUUUUUAAAUGCUACAAACUUAACAAUAAAGGAUAUC